This 254-nucleotide ribosomal RNA is filed under the name uncultured bacterium. RNAcentral's name for it is "partial 16S ribosomal RNA". It matches the Rfam family "Bacterial small subunit ribosomal RNA", at positions 524 to 776 of the family's 1533-position model. The record is from RNAcentral.
UACGUAGGGACCAAGCGUUGUUCGGAUUUACUGGGCGUACAGGGCGCGUAGGCGGCAAUUCAAGUCAUCUGUGAAAUCUCCGGGCUUAACCCGGAACGGUCAGGUGAUACUGUUUUGCUAGAGUGCGGAAGGGGCAAUCGGAAUUCUCGGUGUAGCGGUGAAAUGCGUAGAUAUCGAGAGGAACACCAGAGGUGAAGACGGGUUGCUGGGCCGACACUGACGCUGACAGCGCGAAAGCCAGGGGAGCAAACGGG